UAGUAGCCUAGUGGACAUGGCAUCUGCCCGGUAAGCGGAACACUGUGGGUUCGAUUCCCAUCCCUGGACAC
This is a non-coding RNA of Cordylochernes scorpioides, 71 nucleotides long. The record is from the annotation of a GenBank genome assembly. Lineage: Eukaryota; Metazoa; Arthropoda; Arachnida; Pseudoscorpiones; Chernetidae.